RNAcentral lists this transfer RNA (69 nucleotides) under Urocitellus parryii (Arctic ground squirrel). RNAcentral's name for it is "Spermophilus parryii (Arctic ground squirrel) tRNA". It matches the Rfam family "tRNA". From Rfam's summary of the family: Transfer RNA (tRNA) molecules are approximately 80 nucleotides in length. The record is from Rfam by way of RNAcentral. Lineage: Eukaryota; Metazoa; Chordata; Mammalia; Rodentia; Sciuridae. RNAcentral also lists the same sequence under 1 other name.
GGUGAUGUAGCUCAGUGGUACAGCAUUUGCCUGCCAUGCAUGAGGCUCCAGGUUCAAUCCCCAGCACCG